UUCUUGUUAGAGAAGGAUUUUGAAAGUCCUUAUUGGUGGGAAUUACUCACCACAAGAAU
Molecule: transfer RNA, 59 nt
Filed under: Bulla sp. TLT-2006
Lineage: Eukaryota; Metazoa; Mollusca; Gastropoda; Cephalaspidea; Bullidae
Description: tRNA-Ser
Source: RNAcentral